RNA transcript from Macrosteles quadrilineatus (aster leafhopper), 3536 nucleotides. It is a transcript of the gene named cytochrome P450 4C1-like, with no coding region annotated. The transcript is spliced from 10 exons. The record is from RefSeq and is a predicted model, not a curated record. NCBI's taxonomy places the organism in Eukaryota, Metazoa, Arthropoda, Insecta, Hemiptera, Cicadellidae.
UUCUCUUAGUUACAAGUCAGUAAUUAAUCGCAAUCAGUUCAAUAUAAAAAACAUUUUCCAUGUUUCAAAAGCGUCAUCGCCCAAUAAAACAGGAGGACAUUUACAACAUUAUAAUAUCUCGCAAAAAAGUCCAAGUAGUAUAAAAACAACUCAAAAUGAAACAGUCAAACUGGAGCCAAUAACCAACGCGUCCACAACUUUUAGACCAACAAGUGUCCUUCAAUUUUUAAACAUAUUUCACAAACUAAAACAGUUGAAACAUUUUCCAACUGUAACUAGUAAUCCUAAUCACUUUGAUUCAACAGAGCCUGUUGUCUUUGAAACACAAAUCCCAUCUUCUCCAAUUCAGGACGUUCUCGACAAAGAAUGUAGGCCUAUCACUGAAAUUCCUUUAACUGCAGAGUUAAGUAAAGGUUUAACGAAAACCAGUAGUAAAUAUAUGCGUUUAAAAAACUUGGUACAUAAAAAUCCAAGAACAUCAACUAGCAGUUUUGAUACAUUAUCUAAAGAUGUUGAAGGUUAUUUCACAUCAAAACAAACUAAUUUUGAUACAAAGUGUGGAUCCGAGACAACCUUUACACCCUCAAUAACAAAAGGAAAACAUGGACUGAAUAGUGACAUUAUUAGAGAAAACAAAAAUAAGACACACCUAAUGAAGCCUCUAAAUCAAGGUGCAGAAAAUGAAGAAGAAAGCAACCAGAUAUUGGUGAAAACAACAAUAAGUAAAGGAAACAAAGAAUUUGAACAGAGUUCAAUCAAUAAAUUGGUUGGAUCAAAAAUCAGUUCACAUAUUAAACCAGAAGAUACGAUAACUCGUAGUCCGUUUAAAGUCAAAUAUCUGAUGAGAUUUAAAAAUUUUAAGUCUAGUACACAGCAUUGUCCUAGUGAUUCAACAUUGUUGUCUUUGGCAUCUAGUGAAAAUUAUGAAAAAGAUACUCCAGUCACCAAGGAAAAUUUCAAUUUUGACAUUACAACAAAGCCCAUGAGUGCCGUUAAUAUUCACUUCGACUCCAAAACUUCCAAUCCAACCUGUAAUAAUACUGCAAAACAUAAAGUAAUGAAAAAUAAUCCCACAACUACAAAAGGCUUUGAAGGCCUCGGUAGCUUAGAAACAAGUGAACAUACAGAUAAUACUCUUGUUGUCAGUACUCAAAUAUAUGAAGACAUUAGGGGUUUGCGGAAAUCCACAGAAUAUGAUCUCAGAAGGUACAAAUACCCAGGAAGGAUUGAAAAUCAUAAUUACAAUAACAGGAAACUAGAUAACUCUGCUUCAGACAGUUUCAAGGAAAUGUUCAAUGUAACAGUGCAUACAAACAGUGGUGACAGGUUUAGGGAUUGGUUUCUAGGUAAAAAUAAAAUACCUGCUAUCAAUAAGACUUAUAACAAAAAAGAUAAUUGUACAUUCAGAUGGUGUUUCCAGCUUUCCUCCACUAACAAUAUAACUGUAACGAAACCUCUUCCAUCAUAUGUAACUACAGAAACACCUGUCCAAAGUAGCGAAGAACAUCUAAUCCAGUCCACUUUUGCACCAAAUAAAAAGAUCAAACAUUUCUUUCAUCUUAAACAUUCCCACAACACUCUGCCUUUAAUAGUUUCAGAAAACAACACAGUGGUGGAUUCAGCUCUUAGUGAUGUAACCAAAGAAUAUAUACAUAAUUCUAAUGCUCCAGAAACAUCAACUAGACGAGGUGGAAAAGACAAUACUCUUAAUGUCAACCUUAUUCCGUAUAAUUAUGAUACUACCACCAAUGAAAAUCAACGAGGAACUCUGUCCAAUAGGACACAGAUUGAAUUUGCUUUUACGACUGAACCAAAUAUGUCAGUCAACAAAACUGGCCGUGGAAAAGUGAAACAAUUUUUUCAUAAAUUUUACACGGAUAAAAUACACGUUAUAAAGUUAAACAAAACCAAUUCUUUGCAACAGGAAAAUAGCACUGCUUUAACAAAGUCAGUGGCAUUUGCAGAUAAUGUGGAAUCAAAAGUAGAAACGAAGAAACAUGAAUUUUAUCCAAACAUAACAGAUGUGCGUAAUGCCGCUGAUAUCAAUGACACAUCUUUCAAUGUCAUGGCAUUUGUGAUGAAACCUUUUGACAGUCUGGUUGGUGUGUUCAAAGCACUUUCUCCAAACAGCAUCACUAAGAUUGGGGAUGUAAAUGCCACUGAUAUUAAAAACGGUAGCUUACCGGAUCACCUGCAGCCUCCAAAUUCUUCAAUCGUCAUACUGGCUGUUAACAACACAAACGCUACUUCGAAGGAUAUUCAUGAAUCAAAUGUGUGCUUGUGUUGCUGACGUAGAGCUGGAUAUGGCUCUGGAUCUGCUGGGAGGCAUGUACCACUGUGUGUUCAGUAGUUUUGUUGAAGCAAAGCCAGAAGACGUUCAUUUCCACUUGUACACUAGGAAAAAUCCAGAGGAGCCAGAAGAACUAUUUCUCCCCCAAGAACAACCCCUGGACAAUGUGACAGACAAUGCUAAUAUUCCAAAACCUGUAUUGGAGGAAGAACUCAAGACAGAGAUUCCCUAUAAUAAAAGGGAAAUUGAAAAUGAAGAGGACUAUUAUGAAGAUUAUGAGUUUGAGCCAUUGAAUCCAGCUAAAUCGUCAAUUCAAUCAAAGUGGUUCAAUGUUUUUGCUGAAACAAAAGUUCUCAUUCACGGCUACCUUCAAGAUUAUCAGACAGAUGUUAUGGUCAGCAUGAAAGAUGCCUAUUUGUCCCGUGGGCCGUACAACGUGGUGGUGGUAGACUGGUCCGUGCUGGUAGGUGAAUCCUCCUGCUACCCCAUUGUCGCCUCACGAGGACUGCAGCAGGUGGGUGGUCUGUUGGCCCAGCUGCUGGACCACCUCGUAUACGCAGGAGUGUCGCCCAGUAACAUCCACAUCGUAGGGUUCAGUUUGGGAGCUCACGUAGCGGGUCAUGCUGGAACUUUUCUCGGCCACGGACUGGUAUCCCGGAUCACUGGUUUGGACCCGGCACUCCCUUACGUACCAAUGGAGAAUGACGUCAGCUUGGACGCAGGCGAUGCUGUGUUCGUAGACAUCAUACACUCGGCUGCGGGACUGCUGGGUCAGUCUGGGCCGAUGGGUCACAUUGAUUUCUACCCGAAUGGCGGGUCACAGCAACCCGGAUGUGAGGUGUCUUCCUUGAGCUGUUCACAUCGUAGAGCAGCUUUGUACUUUAUCGAAUCUAUCACUUCGGAGGUUGGCUUUCCUGCUACCAGAUGCGACUCGUGGCAUCACUACCAGACUGACAAUUGUAGCAUCUCAGCGACUGUUCUCAUGGGUGAUCCAUGUCCUGCCAAUGCUAGUGGAAAGUUCUACCUCGUCACUGGUUACAAAUCACCAUUCGUCCUGCAACCAGAGGAACAUGUCCAGGUGAAGAAGUCUCUCCUACUGGACUUGUUUUACGACUCUGAAGACCUGUAAGACCAAAAUCGUAGGAGAUGUACUUGGAAAUUGUAAAAGACAUAACAAUAAUUUUACAAACUCCUCAACAAUAGCAAUGAAAACAGCAGCCAAGCAACCGUACAGCCUGUACUGUAU